Long non-coding RNA from Acromyrmex echinatior (Panamanian leafcutter ant), 676 nucleotides. RefSeq lists it as uncharacterized. The record is from RefSeq and is a predicted model, not a curated record. NCBI's taxonomy places the organism in Eukaryota, Metazoa, Arthropoda, Insecta, Hymenoptera, Formicidae.
CACAUGGUUCGUAGCUUUGAACGUAACAAAUUAAUUCUUAUUUCGAAACCAUAAAAUUUAGGAUCUCAUCCCACAGAACGUAUCAUCCACAUAGACAUCCAUAGUUCUAUCAAGAGUUUCAUGCAGCAUUUAGUUCUGGAACUGCUGGAAGUCAAUUAGAGAUUCAUGAUAGAUGAUCCACGAUGAAUGUCUAUUAGACAUCUAUUAUAGUACAUGGUGUCGCCACGAGAUGGACACUGUUUCUCUGUUCGGAAUUAAUUGCUCAUCGGGCAGAUUCCUGAGGCGACCCUCUCACUACCACUCGAGACUCGGCGGCCGAGCCCACGUGACGCUGUGCCCCAGGAGCGUCGCGAUAUAAAAAGUAUGCUGGGAGCAUAUUUUCCGAUUCAAACUGACAUUUAAAUGACGACAAGCAACUAGGAUUAAUGACACAUUGAAUGAAGUAUCGGAAAUGUGCAAAGGCGUUCAGUAGAGAAGUGUCUAAAAGAUUCACUGCUUUCAUACGUACUAUAAAUAUGCACUAAAUACAAUCAGCAAAUGCCAUAUUAAUAUUUUACUGUUAAUGACGGAUAAAAGUAGAUGGCAUUGGAUUUAAUUUUAUUAAUUUGUUUUUAAGAGAUUUUAAAAAUCUUUUACAUAGAUCAGAGUGAUAAACAAACGUAGAAUAAUACAUUCC